This 236-nucleotide long non-coding RNA is filed under the name Mytilus galloprovincialis (Mediterranean mussel). Lineage: Eukaryota; Metazoa; Mollusca; Bivalvia; Mytilida; Mytilidae. The record is from RNAcentral.
AUAAUAAUUAUAUUCAGGUAUUUGGACAUCAGGUUCUACCCCUUUCCAAGUUUCUAUCAAUAUAUUUAUGUCAUGUUUUAUCAAUUCCAAGAAAUCAGGGUCUCUGUGUUUCUGUCCCAAUCCAUGAACAUUCCAGCUAGAUAUAGAAAUAGAAUCUAUAGAUGAAAACAUUUGUUUUGUUUUCAUAUUUAUUUAUAAAACAUUUAAUUAUGCAAGAAAUUUCCCCAUUCAAGUAC